UCUGCUACCCCACAGCUCCUCUGGCCUGGGAUAUUUUGCUGCAGCUGCACCCAGUGGAGCAGCUGGGGAUGGCCCCAGGGGCCGGCGGCAGAUGCUGCCAGAUGUGCAGGGACCAGCACAGCUGGAGGGGCAGGUGGCACAGCUGGCACGUGCCUGUGGGCAGCCACUCCCCGGGGCUGGGACAGGAGGAGCAGGAGGCUGGGAUGUAAUUCCAGCCCCUGGGCAGAGCCCACAAGAGCAGGAAAGCUCCUGGCUCAGCUCUGGGAUGGUUCCCAUCGGGCGUGGCUGGCACCCCCGUGCCCUCACCUUUCUGUUGGACACUGACCAGGUCAGGAGUGUCCUGUGACAUGGGGACAGUGCAAAGGUCACAGCACAGCCCAGCCAGGGCUCAGCUGGAGGGUGCCAGCCCUUGGCUGUGCCUUCAGGUGCUGUGGCCAGGUCCUGGCACCCUGCAGCCCUCAGGAAUUCCAAGGAGCUGCUCCCCAAAGCAGGCAGUGCUGGUCAGGACCUUCGUGUGCCUGGAGCUGCUGAAUUCAGGGCAGAAGCAGAGGGAGGGCAGUGCCAGGAGAGAACUCCUGGAAAAAUAACCCACAAACCGUGGGAGGGAGCACGUGGAGAAGGGGACACCAAGGCAGGGCAUUCACUAAAGCUGGGAUCAAGCCCACAGUCCAAAUCUCCCUUUGGGGAUGGACAGGGAGGGCCCCACGUGUGGCCUCACUGCCCAGGGGUGCCUUUGCUCCCACAGCUCUCCCAGAGCAGCACAGCCAUGCACAGAACCCCCCACACAGAAACCCCCCCGUGCCUGAGCCAAAGGGAUCCUGCCUGGCACCACCUCAGCCUGGCAAACCAAGGAGGGGGAGAAAGCUUUGACAGAAAUGUGGAGGUGCUCUAAUCCCCACAGCCGGCCCAGGGAGAGGCCUCCACUAAUGAGGAGUGUAAUAGCCAGAGCCUUCCAUUCCAGAUGGUUUGGGGAAAACAUUUGGACAGCCAGCAGCAAGCUGGGAUGAGUCACCGCAGCCAACAGUGCAGGGUGAGCUUCAAGCAAUUUUCUUCAUGAUUAAAGUUGGGAACUU
This is a long non-coding RNA of Vidua macroura (Pin-tailed whydah), 1073 nucleotides long. RefSeq lists it as uncharacterized. The record is from RefSeq and is a predicted model, not a curated record. The transcript has 2 exons. NCBI's taxonomy places the organism in Eukaryota, Metazoa, Chordata, Aves, Passeriformes, Viduidae.